AUCCGUGCAGCCACUAGUGCAUGCGUGCUGCCGGAGGUCUGCGCCGGCCCCAUUGACUAUAUUGGUGGCGGCCCAGAGGUCCAGCGGCAGCACGGAAAACAUGCCAAGAGGCAGCCGGAAUAAAAUUAUUACAUGCAGCUAGUGUUAAAC
This is a long non-coding RNA of Bufo bufo (common toad), 150 nucleotides long. RefSeq lists it as uncharacterized. Lineage: Eukaryota; Metazoa; Chordata; Amphibia; Anura; Bufonidae. The record is from RefSeq and is a predicted model, not a curated record. The transcript is spliced from 3 exons.